Ribosomal RNA from Cercocebus atys (sooty mangabey), 109 nucleotides. The record is from Ensembl. NCBI's taxonomy places the organism in Eukaryota, Metazoa, Chordata, Mammalia, Primates, Cercopithecidae.
AUCUAUGGCCAUACCACCCUGAACGCGUCUGAUCUCAGAAGCUAAGCAGAGUCGGGCCUGAUUAGUACUUGGAUGGGAGAUAGCCUGGGAAUACUGGGUGCUGUAGGCU